UUUUUUUUUUUUUGAAAUAGGGAUCUAUCUACCAGGGUGGGUAUGAGAAGUAAGAAAAGGGGUGUAAACAUAAAGCCCACAGGGGCCUCACCAUGACGCUGUUCAUGCAUUAGUGAGCACUUAACAAACAAAAAGCAUUGUAAUGGAGUAUUUUUGUCCUUUCAUGGUAAUCCUGUGUCUCAACACUGGCCAACAUCAGAAUCACCUGGAGCAUAAGGUCAAAGGCCCCACUUCAACCCUCCCCAAUCAGAAACGCCAAGGUUGAGGUCCAGGGAUCUGAAUUUUGCCUUAUAGUAAUCUCCCUGUUGUAUGGGAGCCUGGGCUGAGCUAGAUGUUCACUUUUCCAGAAGGUUCCAUAAGGGAUUCUUGCCCUGGGUAGGAGGUAGGUUUAGAGGACCUAGAAGUGUCUUCCAAAUAAUAACCCUCUUACUUGGUUGGUUCUUGAUUGGUAGCUUCUCCUGCAAGCUGAGUAGUAAUCAGUAUACAGAGAAAUAUUCCUUCUGUCCCAUUCCAUAUUGGUUAUCUCCCCAGCUCUUUCUCUGGUAGCCCCAAUAGGGGUAGGCUCUAGUACCAGACAAAAAAUAAGCUUCCUCCAGGGCUCCCUUUCUUCUGACAAACAAGAAGAUCACUUUUAACAACCACAAAGUUUCAUGAAUCACCAGAUGAAAGCUGGUUAUGCUGUCAGUGUCUGUUAACAAAGAACAUUAUUAAACAUACACACGCACACACACAGACUCAAAAAUGAGCAAAACUAUACAUUUAAGACACUUUCAAAUAAAUGUGGUAUUUUAUUAAUCACAAAGCAUACACAUGCAUCUGAAAAGUAGUAGUGCAUUAUUUAUUUAGUCUGAAGUAAGAUUUUGGACUUGAGACUAUGUGUACCCUUUAAAAAAAAUUUCCCUGGGGGGGGGUUCAUUGCCCAAAGAUUCAGAAACAGCAUGUGCCACCCUGUCAGGGUCAAAGCCCAGUGGCUCAUCCACCUGUACUCACUUGCUCCUGAAUAGUAAGUAUCACUAGAAGAAUUCGAUUCUGGAAUAGCAAUGUUUGAAAUGAGCCACCAGUGAGUAGCCAAAGGGCCAGAAAGGACUCCCUGUAAGGUUCUAUCUGCAAAGCCUUCCCCAGGCACCCUGGUUUGAAAUGGCUCCUUCCUCUGAACUACUGCACCCAACCCUGCUGAAUCUGAUUCUGCCGGUCUGAGGAGGGCAGGUGCCAUCAGCUUCUUGUUUUCUGUAGAAUUCAUUUGUGACCAUAAAAGUGACGAACAUCUGUAUGUGAACUGUUACUACAGAGCAGAUGUUGAUUUGAACCUUAAGUCUCUUCAGACAGCUGCAUUCUUUCCUUCUGCCUCUUCUAUAGUUCUUAGCACAGUACCCACCUCAAACUGGUGUUCAAUAAACCACAUAUCAAUUUGCUUUGAUGUUACAUAGUGUCUUACCCCAGAAAAUCAACUCCAAACCAUACCUAGGCAGAAAACUCUGAAGUAUAAUGGAAGGAUCUGGAUCUUGAAAUCUACCGCCCCCCCCCCCUUUUUUUUGUGGUCUGUCAAGUUUUGCCACCUCUGAUGGUUAUCUUUUGAAGAGGUGCAAGUAGAUGAAGUCACCCCAAUG
RNAcentral lists this long non-coding RNA (1607 nucleotides) under Canis lupus familiaris (dog). RNAcentral's name for it is "lncRNA (ENSCAFG00000058098.1)". The record is from RNAcentral. Lineage: Eukaryota; Metazoa; Chordata; Mammalia; Carnivora; Canidae.